Molecule: long non-coding RNA, 434 nt
Filed under: Lonchura striata (white-rumped munia)
Lineage: Eukaryota; Metazoa; Chordata; Aves; Passeriformes; Estrildidae
Description: domestica (Bengalese finch) lncRNA (ENSLSDG00000001452.1)
Source: RNAcentral
ACCUGGGACAGGUGAGACAUGGACAGGUGAGACACACCUGGGACAGGUGAGACACACCUGGGACAGGUGAGAUGGGACAGGUGAGAUGGGACAGGUGAGACAGGUGAGGGACACGUGAGACACACCUGGGACAGGUGAGACAGGUGAGAUUGGACAGGUGAGAUGGGACAGGUGAGACAUGGACAGGUGAGACAUGGGCAGGUGAGACACACUUGGGACAGGUGAGACAGGUGAGACACACCUGGGACAGGUGAGACACACCUGGGACAGGUGAGACAGGUGAGACAGGUGAGAGAUGGACAGGUGAGAUGGGACAGGUGAGAUGGACAGGUGAGAUGGGACAGGUGUGUCCCAGGUGUGUUUUACGUGCCAUACAUGUACCAUACAGGUGUAUUACAGGUGUGACAGGUGUAUUACAGGUGUGACAGGUGUGU